UAUUGAGCUCUGUGGAGGCUGGAGGCUGUGGGAGUGACUGCUCCUUAUUGGACUCCACCCCCUUAGGAGGGAGAGGGUUGUCAAAAUAUUUAAGCAUCUAACACAGAUAUUAGGUUGUGACCUUGAGGAGCUGAGCAGAGAGACAGCGUGAACGUAAUAGAGAAACAAGGAGGCUGUGACAUGGCUGGGAAACCCAAGCUUCACUACAUGAAUGGACGACUUCGAAUGGAGCCCAUCCGGUGGCUCCUGGCUGCAGCUGGAGUCGAGGUGGAAGUGCAAUUUCAAUAGUGUUGAAAACGAACUUCUGAGGACUUGGAAUGCCAUUCCAGAAAAUUUUUUCUGUUUAAAAAAACUUUGCAACAGCAUUACUCUCCAUGUU
Long non-coding RNA from Myotis davidii, 379 nucleotides. RefSeq lists it as uncharacterized. NCBI's taxonomy places the organism in Eukaryota, Metazoa, Chordata, Mammalia, Chiroptera, Vespertilionidae. The transcript has 3 exons. The record is from RefSeq and is a predicted model, not a curated record.